ACUUGUUUAGUUCAGUUGGUAAAAUACAAGGCUCUUAAACUUGUGGUUGUGGGUUCGAGCCCCUCGGUGGGUG
Molecule: non-coding RNA, 73 nt
Organism: Zea mays
Lineage: Eukaryota; Viridiplantae; Streptophyta; Magnoliopsida; Poales; Poaceae
Source: Rfam